AUAUUGAUUUUAGUUUGUUUAUUAUUGAUUUUAUGAAUGAUUUAUUUAUUAUUCAGGUUAUCUAAGAAAUGUUUGUAGGAUUACAUUACAAUUUAGAUUAGAUUAGAUUAGUUUUUUAACACAAACAACAUUAGAUUAGAAAUAGGAAAAUGUUAGUAGGAUUAGAUUACAAUUUACAUUAGAUUAUAUUAGUUUUUUAACACAAACAUUAGAUUAGAAACAGGAAAAGUAGAACAAAAAUAAUAAAAUAUCCUUUUAUCAAAUAUAUUCAGAAUGUCACGCUCUCGUGCGUUGUCAUCACGUUGGACCAACGUGAAUGAGGAACUCGAACACCUUCUUGCGAAUAUGUCCAAUAAGAAUUAACAUAUAGUUACUUGAAUGUUAAUUUUGUUUUGUGUUUGAAUGCAUGUUAAUUGCUUAAAUGUUAAUCAUGUAAGAAUUAACAAUUGAAGAGCAUGGGGAAUGGAAGGAAUUGGAAAACAUGAUGCAGGAUGUCGUAGCUCCACCAGAGGCUUUAUUCUAGACCGUUAGUGCCAGGGACCAUGUCAUGUUCAUUUUGAUUUAAUUAACAUUUGAUUUUUCUGUUAUUUUGUGUAACUAACCAACCUUAUUUUGUGAUAUGACAUGUAGAUUUUCGGUGAAGUUGGUAAGGUAUAUGCUGUCAAGUGGAAGGACGUACUCGACAGUAUAUGGCAUUUGGUUGACAAAGACGAAAAUUAUCAUAACAUUGUGUACAACCAAGAUUUGAACCAACCAGUCAUUGUAGCAGGGUGGAUAACACUGCGCGAUUUUUACCAACUCACCGGUAAUCAUCUAGUAUCCUUGCAUCAUUAUGUGCUAGGUUCUGUGACCUUCAAGGUUUAUCUCACUGAGCAGAAAGUUUCCUGUAGUAGUCUGGACGUUCCAAGUGUCAUGCAUUAUUUUUUGAAAGACAAAGGUUGGACUCAUUUGCACUUGGAAGAUGUUGCAGAAUGUCGACUCGUGUUCAAUCAUUGGAGGAAGACACUAAAAAUUGAAGCCGGAUGGAAACAUUUCUGCAAGACCUUGUCGUUCACCACUGACAUGAAAAUAGUUUUCGAAUUCAUUGAUCCCGAUGUUAAUUGUGUGCUUUAUUGGUCGUGUGUAUGAAUUGCCUUAGGAUUGUGAACAUUUUUAUUACUUCGAACAAUUUUAUUAUUAUGCACAUUUUAAUUAACUGUGAACAAUUUAUUUAUAUAUUAGUUGUUUUAUAA
Molecule: long non-coding RNA, 1232 nt
Organism: Glycine soja
Lineage: Eukaryota; Viridiplantae; Streptophyta; Magnoliopsida; Fabales; Fabaceae
Exons: 3
Source: RefSeq, a predicted model, not a curated record